This 146-nucleotide unclassified non-coding RNA is filed under the name soil metagenome. RNAcentral's name for it is "partial internal transcribed spacer 1". The record is from RNAcentral.
CCGAGUUACAACUCCCAAACCCCUGUGAACAUACCACUUGUUGCCUCGGCGGAUCAGCCCGCUCCCGGUAAAACGGGACGGCCCGCCAGAGGACCCCUAAACUCUGUUCCUAUAUGUAACUUCUGAGUAAAACCAUAAAUAAAUCA